UACGGUCAAAUCACGUUAAAAUCCCCGGUUCGCAUUUGACCAGCGAAGUUAAGCAGUGUCAUGCUCGGUCAGUACUUAGAUGGAGUACCUCUUUGGAAUGCUGG
Molecule: non-coding RNA, 104 nt
Organism: Acanthosepion pharaonis
Lineage: Eukaryota; Metazoa; Mollusca; Cephalopoda; Sepiida; Sepiidae
Source: the annotation of a GenBank genome assembly